This is a non-coding RNA of Phascolarctos cinereus (koala), 788 nucleotides long. NCBI's taxonomy places the organism in Eukaryota, Metazoa, Chordata, Mammalia, Diprotodontia, Phascolarctidae. The record is from RefSeq and is a predicted model, not a curated record.
UUUACUAAGGUCUAAAAGGACACAUUUAAAACAAAAGAAAGGAUUCACAACAUUUUUCACUAAGGACCUUGAAUUUGAGCACUGGAGCAGUGGUUGCUUAUGAUUUCAAGGGUAGAAAUAGAAAAUACCAGGUAGAGGACACAUAGUUGGGGGAUUUUGUGUUCUUCAGCUUUGCUACUCAAGACAGGGUUAAUGGCAGAAUAACAAGUAGUAUACCCAAGGCCGUUAGAAGACCUGGAUCUGUGCGUGCAGACACUUCCACUUCCACAAGCCAAGUAAUGAUAUUGAACACUGAGUGAUAAUUGUGAUUGAUCAUUUAAACAAGGCCAGAUGUCGACUUUAGGAACAUUUCCUGAGGACUUCGUAGCUGCUUCUGACUUUCUUCCCAGCAUUGUAUCAGGACCAACAGAACAAAAUGCAAUUAAGUUGGCCUUCAAAUAUUAGUAGAGCCACAAUCAUCUGAAAUUCACAAUAAUGUGUUGAAGAUAACACUCUGAUGUGGUUGCCACCAGUUCUUUGAAAGCAACAAAUAAUAUUCCCAGUAUUGGAGCUGAUUGAAAUGUGUGCACUGGAGAGAAAUCACUGUAGAUGCCCCAUCAGUUUUGACAGGGAUUUCAGCAUUGUUUUCUAUCGUAUGCUUCAACAUCUUCAUCUCAGUUUCUUUUGUGAAUAUUUUGCUAUUCUUGCUGCAUUAUGUUGUGCAUGUAACCAACUGCUUCUCUAUCCACCCCUUUACCCUUGUAAUUCUGUUGCUCCCUCUAUCAAAUAAAGGCCUCUUACAUUUGACU